UUUGACCCAGUCCUAAAAAACCCAGGACCGUCCAUUUAUGACCGGGUAGUCCAUUAUGUUUUCUACAAUACUAUUUAAGAACCAAACACCAAUUUUAUAUUCCCCUUUUAUGGUCAAAUUCGCGAUGGUGUUGAUGAUGAUCUUAUUAUUUUUCCAGGUUCUUGGUAAUCCUUCCAUUGCUGUAAAGAUCGGUGUGACUUCCCUUUAUAAGCUCAAAACACCAUCCUCGUAGAUCUGAAGUACAAACUCGAUAAUCUCUUAAAUCAUAAUGACAAUCAAAGAGUUAUUAAGAUAGAUUAUUGUUCCACCAUGAUUAACGUUGUCAGAAAGAUAUGAUUUAAUAAGUUUGAGCUUAAGACUGAGGAAGAUGUAAGAGCAAUGUGGAGUACAUUUCAUCAUUGCAAAAAUAAUGGUUUUAUCAAGGUGGAUGUAAUACUUAAAAGAUCAACGGCAAUAUUCUAAAAAUGAUGAAAUGUUCCAACAGAAUCGUUGAUAAUGCGAUGUUAUUUUAGAUUUAUGUCAAGAUAUGUUAUGUCUCACUAAAAAUAAGUAAAUAAAUAAAAGUCUACCAUAUUUUACAAAAAUUCAGUGUCAUCUCAUCCUUAUCAAUUAAUUCGUAUAUUUU
Molecule: long non-coding RNA, 625 nt
Organism: Vicia villosa (hairy vetch)
Lineage: Eukaryota; Viridiplantae; Streptophyta; Magnoliopsida; Fabales; Fabaceae
Exons: 3
Source: RefSeq, a predicted model, not a curated record